This is a long non-coding RNA of Macaca mulatta (Rhesus monkey), 1673 nucleotides long. Lineage: Eukaryota; Metazoa; Chordata; Mammalia; Primates; Cercopithecidae. The record is from Ensembl.
GCAGGAUGUUGGGAAAUGCUUGGACUCCUCCCCUGCAGGACGGGCAGGCCAAUGGAAAGGGAAAGCUGUUGAUGACCCUGGGGACCAGCCCUGACCAGGGACCACUGGAGCUAAGCAGUGGAGCAGGCACAGGUCUCCCUCCCAGCUGCCACUCCCCCUGAGAUCCAGGAAGUCCCUGUACCUGUGACAUCACACUUCAUCCACAAAAAUAGCCAGCAUAUCUCAGCAGCCAGGGUGCAGCCUGCUCUGUGGGGUGACAGGCUGUGAGUGCGAGUCAGCAUCUGCUGGGUGGAUGGCACCCCUCCCUGCUGACCCCAGAGUGGGGACACGCUCACCCAUCUGCAGAGCCUCUAGAAGGUUAUUAGAAGCAGCAGUGGAGCAGUGGCCUAAGGAAACACCCGGAACAGCCACGUGUGUGUGUGUGCAUGUGCACUUGUGCACAGAAGCAAUAACGUCGUAAGUCUGGGAGACUGCGUAUGCUCACAGGUGAGUGUAACUGUGCCUAACUAUUUGUGGCAGGGUGCUUGGGUGGUGUGUGAGAGAAAUUCUGAAUGUAGGCUAAAUGGUGCUAGGAUGUGGUGGUGGUGGUGGGGUCUAUCUAUGUGUGUGCCCAUGAGGGUAAAAGCUAGGAAGGGUUUCUGGAGAGGGAGACAGUGAAGGAGACUAAUCCCCCUUAUCCUCAUACUGCAUUCCUAUCUCACCGGGCAAAACAUAGGGCCAGAUAAUUCCAAACGCCGAGUCUAUUUAACUUGGGACCUCAUUACAGAAGUAUUUUUUCCAUCAGAAAAUUUGCUGAAACAAAAUGGCAUUUGGCUUCAGCAAAUAUUGAACCAGUUUGCUUUCCCAGAGCUGACACUGGAGGGAGGAUAUACGGAGCUCAGGCCAUGGGAGGCCAAAUUGCCACCCUUCACUGGCAAAGAGAAUCCCCCCAGGACUGCCCAGUGAGGCAGCCUCACGCCUGGGAGGGACACACGUCUCUUUCUGCCUCUGCUUGUGCUGGGCCCUCUGCCUAGAUGUUCUGGAAUGUUCUUCCCUCUCCUUUUCCACCUGAGGAACAAUGGCCCUGCCUCCAGGAGUUAGUACACCUGCCAUUUCUGUGAAGGGACCUCUGGUUCCCUUCCUCUCGUCACCCCACAGCACCCCGUAUCCUCCACGACAGUUAGUCGGUAUCGCUCCCCCACUAAAUGGGCGCCUCCUUACAUAGAGGGUUUUCUCCAGUUCUCUAACCCCAGCAUCUAAUGCAUAAUAGAGAUUUUUUUUAACACAGAGUCUUCCUCUGUCACCCAGGCUGGAGUGCAGUGGCACGAUCUCAGCUCACUGCAGUCUCCGCCUCCCAGGUUCAAGCAAUUUUCCUGCCUCAGCCUCCCAAGUAGCUGGGAUUACAGGUGGGUGCCACCACACCCAGAUAAUUUUUGUAUUUUUAGUAGAGACGGGGUUUCACCAUGUUGGCCAGGCUGGUCUCAAACUCCUGACCUCAAAUGAUCUGCCCCCCUCAAACUCCCAAAGUGCUGGAUUACAGGCGUGAGCCACCGUACCCGGCAGAGACUUUUUAAAGUUAACACAUGUUGGCCAACUACAUGUGCCAGGCACUUGACAAGGAGUCUCUUUUUUAAUUCCUCAAAACAACCUGUGAGGUCAGUUCUCUUUGUAACAUUUCCAUUUCAUAAAAGAGA